Molecule: ribosomal RNA, 252 nt
Filed under: uncultured bacterium
Lineage: Bacteria
Description: partial 16S ribosomal RNA
Rfam family: Bacterial small subunit ribosomal RNA
Source: RNAcentral
UACGUAGGUCCCGAGCGUUGUCCGGAUUUACUGGGCGUAAAGCGAGCGCAGGUGGUUUAUUAAGUCUGGUGUAAAAGGCAGUGGCUCAACCAUUGUAUGCAUUGGAAACUGGUAGACUUGAGUGCAGGAGAGGAGAGUGGAAUUCCAUGUGUAGCGGUGAAAUGCGUAGAUAUAUGGAGGAACACCGGUGGCGAAAGCGGCUCUCUGGCCUGUAACUGACACUGAGGCUCGAAAGCGUGGGGAGCAAAUAGG